This 468-nucleotide ribosomal RNA is filed under the name uncultured bacterium. RNAcentral's name for it is "partial 16S ribosomal RNA". It matches the Rfam family "Bacterial small subunit ribosomal RNA", at positions 28 to 507 of the family's 1533-position model. The record is from RNAcentral.
GACGAACGCUGGCGGCGUGCUUAACACAUGCAAGUCGAACGGAAAGGCCCUGCUUUUGUGGGGUGCUCGAGUGGCGAACGGGUGAGUAACACGUGAGUAACCUGCCCUUGACUUUGGGAUAACUUCAGGAAACUGGGGCUAAUACCGGAUAGGAGCUCCUGCUGCAUGGUGGGGGUUGGAAAGUUUCGGCGGUUGGGGAUGGACUCGCGGCUUAUCAGCUUGUUGGUGGGGUAGUGGCUUACCAAGGCUUUGACGGGUAGCCGGCCUGAGAGGGUGACCGGCCACAUUGGGACUGAGAUACGGCCCAGACUCCUACGGGAGGCAGCAGUGGGGAAUAUUGCGCAAUGGGCGGAAACCUGAUGCAGCAACGCCGCGUGCGGGAUGACGGCCUUCGGGUUGUAAACCGCUUUCGCCUGUGACGAAGCGUGAGUGACGGUAAUGGGUAAAGAAGCACCGGCUAACUACGUG